CUCAUUUCAUAAUGAGGCGCACUUCCGGUUCUAGACCUGGGGAGUGCGGCUCCUGCUUUCUACUAGAGGAUAUACAGAUGAUGCCACAUGUCUAUGGUGAUCUCUCUUCAGCUUUCGGGAAUUGCCUUCAAUCUUAUCCAGAGCAGUGGUUCUCAAAGUUCAGCCUGCAGCAGAAUCAACUGGAGAACUUGCUAAAUGGAGAAUACGAGGCACCCCUAGAGCUUCUGACAGAGCAGGUCUGCCCUGCCAAGUUCUCUGGGAAUCCCUCACACUGUGCCUCAUUUGUGUUCACAAACAAGUGUCUCCCAUGGACUUUUUCUCCUGCUCUUUUCCCACUUCCAGAAGCUGACUGGCUUACAUUUCCCACAUCUGACGAUGCGCCUUCAUGACCCAUCAUGUCUGUGAGGCUCCCAGAGCUAUUUGCCGACACUUGAAGACCCAGAGUAGCACUCGCUUCUGUAAGUUUACUAUUAGCGGAAAAUACUCUUUAUUCCGUGGUGAUCAUGACACCUUCAAGAAGACACCUUAACGGAAAAAAAGGAACCUAGGUUGUUCUAGGAACGCUAUGCUUAUGUGCAGGGACAAUGCCUUCUUGCCACAGCGACCGCUUGCUUUCGCAUAGAAUGGCUCCUGAAUUAAGAAUACUGUUCGCAGGGCCACCCCGCCGGGAGCAAGGCUGUGACAGCCGCGGAACUGCUUACCUGCGGGGAGAGUCAGCUUGUGCGAUGUUCUCCCUGCACCAGAAGGAGAAAACUAAUCCCAGCCAGUUCUAUUUAAAUGAAUAAUGAUCUGGGGUCACUUCGCAUCCUGUGGAGGUUAACGACU
RNAcentral lists this long non-coding RNA (825 nucleotides) under Equus asinus (donkey). RNAcentral describes it as "lncRNA (ENSEASG00005036509.1)". The record is from RNAcentral. Lineage: Eukaryota; Metazoa; Chordata; Mammalia; Perissodactyla; Equidae.